UACGUAGGGGGCAAGCGUUGUCCGGAAUUAUUGGGCGUAAAGAGCGCGUAGGCGGUCCGAUAAGUCGGCUGUGAAAGUCAGGGGCUCAACCCUUGAAAGCCGGCCGAUACUGUCGGACUAGAGUCCGGAAGAGGCAAGUGGAAUUCCCGGUGUAGCGGUGAAAUGCGCAGAUAUCGGGAGGAACACCUAUGGCGAAGGCAGCUCGCUGGGACGAUACUGACGCUGAGACGCGAAAGCGUGGGGAGCAAACAGG
Molecule: ribosomal RNA, 253 nt
Filed under: uncultured bacterium
Lineage: Bacteria
Description: partial 16S ribosomal RNA
Rfam family: Bacterial small subunit ribosomal RNA
Source: RNAcentral